AGAGUUUGAUCCUGGCUCAGGACGAACGCUGGCGGCGUGCUUAACACAUGCAAGUCGAACGGAAUCCAUGGUGUAGCAAUACACCGGAAGAUUUAGUGGCGAACGGGUGAGGAUCACGUGAGAAACGUGCCCCAGACUCUGGGAUAACAAUUGGAAACGAUUGCUAAUACCGGAUGACGUCGGAGAAUCGCAUGAUUCACUGACGAAAGAUAUUUCGGUUUGGGAGCGUCUCGCGGCCUAUCAGCUUGUUGGUGGGGUAAUGGCCUACCAAGGCAACGACGGGUAGCUGGUCUGAGAGGAUGAUCAGCCACACUGGGACUGAGACACGGCCCAGACUCCUACGGGAGGCAGCAGUGGGGAAUCUUGCGCAAUGGGCGAAAGCUGAACGCAGCAACGCCGCGU
This 402-nucleotide ribosomal RNA is filed under the name uncultured bacterium SY3-22. Its description in RNAcentral is "bacterial SSU rRNA". It matches the Rfam family "Bacterial small subunit ribosomal RNA", at positions 8 to 402 of the family's 1533-position model. Lineage: Bacteria; Bacillati; Actinomycetota; Actinomycetes. The record is from RNAcentral.